GUCUACUUACCCCAGAAAGGGAUCCCACCACACCACAAAGUACAAUACAGAUCCCAUUGAAGUUCAACUUGGGAAACAACUCUGUUUUCAUUCCUGCCGAUGUCCUGAGAUGUGACUGAGAGUGAACCUAGAAGUGAAGGCCUGCUGUGUUUGGCAGAGGAAACUCCAAGGGAAGAUGGCAGACUUUCAGACUGGCAAGUGCUCACCGUCUUAUUUAGAGAAAGAGCAGGAAGUCGAAAACUGUGAAUGUCUUGUUUUAGGGACAGCAGAAAAGGUGUGCGGAAGGCAAGAUCCCACCCAUUGAAGGCUCAGACUUGGGAAAAUGCAAGAUCAUUUGAAAAGAGAA
Molecule: long non-coding RNA, 346 nt
Organism: Mastomys coucha (southern multimammate mouse)
Lineage: Eukaryota; Metazoa; Chordata; Mammalia; Rodentia; Muridae
Exons: 2
Source: RefSeq, a predicted model, not a curated record